Molecule: non-coding RNA, 306 nt
Organism: Mus musculus (house mouse)
Lineage: Eukaryota; Metazoa; Chordata; Mammalia; Rodentia; Muridae
Source: the annotation of a RefSeq genome assembly
UUGUAAUGUAUUAAAAAAAUCAGAAGAUUGCUCAUGAAGUUUGUACCUGAUUCUGUACUUAUCUUUCAUUAGCACAUCUAGUAAGAGCCUUGUACACAGUAAUGGAAAUUCCUAUUUGGAUUGGCACCUGCAGAAGCCAGGCCAGUCUCUACAACUCCUGAUCUAUGAGGUUUCCAAACGAAAUUCUGGGGUUCCAGACAGGUUCAGUGGCAGUGGAUCAGGGACAGAUUUCACACUUAAGAUCAGCAGAGUAGAGCCUGAGGAUUUGGGAGUUUAUUAUUGCUUCCAAGGUACACAUUUACCUCC